CUGUGCAUUUAACAGGUGUGUGUGUGUGUGUGUGUGUGCAUGCACAUGUGCACACACAUGUGCACACGUAUGCACAUGUAUGUGUAGGUCAGAGUUGCAUAUCAGGUGUCUUCUUCAGUUGCUCUUUAUCUUAUUUUCUGAGACGGGGUCUCUUGAGGAACAGUAAACCAUGCCAGGAAGCUUGGUGGGUAGAGCAGGUUUGAGACCCUAGACAUUCACUGGGUUCACAUCUAAGAUGGUAGGUGCCUCCCUGCCAAAUUUCUGACCUGGAACACGUGACACACUUCCCACAUAGGAAACAUGUCCUAUGGUCAUGUGGGCCCCGAACAGAGUUCUCCAUAAUAGUGAGACACCUAGAGAACUUGAGGGUAAACCAAUGAGCUUCCCUUCCCUGACUUUCCCCCUGCAAAAGGUAUUUAGUCUCAGGUCCACCCCGAGAAGUUGGUAUGGAACGCAUCCAUUUUCCACUAUGAACAACCAAUAAAUAGUUUGGAAUCAAGGACUGUCUCUUUCAUCAAGAACCACCGUGAGGAGGAUGGAGCAGGCCUUUGCCCACGGAGCCACUGCCUAAGUCUCCCUUAGAAGGUCUCUCUGUGCUCCCUCCCAGCCACAGCUGCAGCCAAGCUAGCCAAGCUAACGACCUUCAGAUGAGCAAAGCCAGGGCUUCCCAUCACUCCCCAGGCCCAGCCUAGUCAUGGUCCUCAGCCUACAGGCUCCCAACUCUGCUCUCGACUCCUCGGAGACUCAGCAGUGCCUGAAGGUCCAGGAAUUUGGGAGCACCGGGUCCUAGCCUCGUCAAGGGCCUGUGAACUCCCAACACUUCGUUCACUCCUUCCGUUCUCCAGCAGCGGCUUUCCCACAUCUCUGACUGCAUUUUCCCACCCCUGGAGUGCUGUCUCAAUGCUUCCCUAAAGCCCAGCACCUGCCCAGUGGCGGCGUGAGCAGUCAAACUCCCUCCAGCAAGGCUGCACCUGCUAAACCUCCGCAAACUGGACCACAGCUGAGGAGGGAGUAUUCAAAUGCAUGGACCCGUGGGGAACAUUCCUCAUUCAAACCGCUACAGUAAGUAUUCUGUCGUUCCUCGCCUCCCUUGAUCAGAGCUAGAAAUGAGCCUGUCCAAUCAAGCCUACCUCUGACCAAGCCAGGAAGUGGGGGAGGGAGAGGGCUGUCUGCGUGAUUCUGAUCAGUAUAGCCUUGCACCACUGAACUCCACUGGGCCCUUUAUGAAGGAGGUCCCUCUCACUCCGUGCGGAGGAAAAGAUGUGGCCAGCAGAGA
This 1276-nucleotide long non-coding RNA is filed under the name Mus musculus (house mouse). RNAcentral's name for it is "long non-coding RNA chr4:142495632-142496908". The record is from RNAcentral. Lineage: Eukaryota; Metazoa; Chordata; Mammalia; Rodentia; Muridae.